Molecule: ribosomal RNA, 482 nt
Filed under: uncultured bacterium
Lineage: Bacteria
Description: partial 16S ribosomal RNA
Rfam family: Bacterial small subunit ribosomal RNA
Source: RNAcentral
AUUGAACGCUGGCGGCAUGCCUUACACAUGCAAGUCGAACGGUAACGGGCCUUCGGGUGCCGACGAGUGGCGAACGGGUGAGUAAUACAUCGGAACGUGCCCGAUCGUGGGGGAUAACGAGGCGAAAGCUUUGCUAAUACCGCAUACGAUCUACGGAUGAAAGCAGGGGACCGCAAGGCCUUGCGCGGACGGAGCGGCCGAUGGCAGAUUAGGUAGUUGGUGGGAUAAAAGCUUACCAAGCCGACGAUCUGUAGCUGGUCUGAGAGGAUGAUCAGCCACACUGGGACUGAGACACGGCCCAGACUCCUACGGGAGGCAGCAGUGGGGAAUUUUGGACUAUGGGCGCAAGCCUGAUCCAGCCAUGCCGCGUGCAGGAUGAAGGCCUUCGGGUUGUAAACUGCUUUUGUACGGAACGAAAAGCCUUCUUUUAAUACAGGAGGGUCAUGACGGUACCGUAAGAAUAAGCACCGGCUAACUACGUG